This is a long non-coding RNA of Bubalus bubalis (water buffalo), 1390 nucleotides long. RefSeq lists it as uncharacterized. NCBI's taxonomy places the organism in Eukaryota, Metazoa, Chordata, Mammalia, Artiodactyla, Bovidae. The transcript has 4 exons. The record is from RefSeq and is a predicted model, not a curated record.
GUUACCGCGAGGGAGGGCACCGGUUGCCAUGGUAACCGACUGGGCGGCGUGAGCCCCUCUCGCGGGCUCCGCCUCCCACCUUUCUUUAGGAGAGGUCGCGCACUGCCAGCCGAGCUUUCGAAUCCAGCGAGCCGCGUCCCAGUUGCAGCAGAGCUAGACCGCAACUCUUCGCGUCGGACUGUGCAGGUGAGGGUAGCUCAAGAGCCUCCCACCUCAAGGAACCUCGAUCCUCCGGAGCCCCCGGGCACAAGCUCAUUCUGGCUAUUAGCCUAGGACUAAGGGAAGAAUGCGGGACGCAGAAGGGACUGGCAGAGUAUAGACCUGGGGACCAGAGUCAGGAGAUAGGGAAGGAAGAGACCUUGAGCGACUCAUUUCAUCUUGGUUUCCCACGUGGGAAACUGAUGCGAAACUGGAUGACCUCCAAGGCCACGGGACCAGCAGACUCAGCAUCACCUAGGAGCUUGUUCAGUUCAGUGUGAGCAUGUGCUGUUCUUCCUGCUCACCGGGUGUGAAAAGCCUUCCUGUGAAGUAUGGCACUCUGUACCUCUCUCUUUUCGGAUUGAUCAAAGGGAUUGUAACCUCCAAUGAGACACUUAAGUGGUCAUUUAUAAUGUCACUUCCUGCCUCUGCACUCGCCUGUCCGUGGACACUGUGUGUGCUGCCACGUGUUCUCUGUUGUAAACGGUGCUGUUUGGGUUUCUCCCAGGACACUCUUAAGAGGCAGUCAAGAGAACAUCCUGGACUAUCAAUAAAGGGUUUGCAAAGGAUGCAUGACUUACCCUCCCACAGCUGAAGACUCUGUGGAGCAACAGACGGCCAGAUGACAAGGUUGUUGGCUUCAAAGAGAGGGUUGGUGAGCUUACUCAGUUCACUGGGCCGGUUGACCCAGGACCACAGAGACAUCGUUUUCUGCUGCAGCUUCAACUUACAUCUGAUCAAGAAAGAAAACUGCCAUUAAACCAAUUAACUUAUGGCAACCACUAUUAAAUGCUGCUUCUAAUAGGACCAUUUCUUUUCUCUGUACAUUGGAAGGCAGAACAAAAUGCUGUCAAAUUGAAAUAUCUGUCAGAAUUUUUCACUGUCAACAAUUACCUAAAUUGAAGAAACAGAAAAUCUCAACAGACCUAUAACAGGAAACAUCCUUACCAGGCCCACCAAUGAAUGGCUGCAGAAAAGAAGUUAACACUUUCCCUCCCAAAUCUGGCUGGAACCAGGAAACAUUUCAAACAAGUUACUUUUUUUAAUGUUACCUCCUUAGCUCCUCCCCUUCUUUGUUUUAUAAAAGUACCUAGCAUCCAAACCCAGGCAAGACACUUCUUUGGGACACUAAUAUACCCUCUUCCUGCUCUGCUGGCUUUCCUAAUAAAGUUGCUCGUCUUUGCCCUGACAA